AGCACACAAGGAAGGAAGCCAGAGGGGACGUCCUAGUGGAACCUUUCUGGGAGACACUGAAAAACACCAAGGUGCAUCCCAGUUCUGUAUGUCUGAGCCUACGGUGGGGCAGCUCAGGAUCAGACAGGGUACCUUCGGCUGAGCUCCUGGCCAGUCUGGAGAUCUCAUGAUUAGUCGGUGCAGUGACCGAGGUUGCCACCUUUUCUGAAAUACAAUUUUGGAGUUGGCUCAGAGUCACCCA
Molecule: long non-coding RNA, 241 nt
Organism: Vombatus ursinus (common wombat)
Lineage: Eukaryota; Metazoa; Chordata; Mammalia; Diprotodontia; Vombatidae
Exons: 3
Source: RefSeq, a predicted model, not a curated record